Molecule: ribosomal RNA, 431 nt
Filed under: uncultured bacterium
Lineage: Bacteria
Description: bacterial SSU rRNA
Rfam family: Bacterial small subunit ribosomal RNA
Source: RNAcentral
AUUGAACGCUGGCGGCAUGCCUUACACAUGCAAGUCGAACGGCAGCGGGCCUUCGGGUGCCGGCGAGUGGCGAACGGGUGAGUAAUGCAUCGGAACGUGCCAUUGAGUGGGGGAUAACGUAGCGAAAGUUACGCUAAUACCGCAUAUUCUGUGAGCAGGAAAGCAGGGGACCGCAAGGCCUUGCGCUCUUUGAGCGGCCGAUGUCAGAUUAGCUAGUUGGUGAGGUAAAGGCUUACCAAGGCGACGAUCUGUAGCGGGUCUGAGAGGAUGAUCCGCCACACUGGAACUGAGACACGGUCCAGACUCCUACGGGAGGCAGCAGUGGGGAAUUUUGGGCAAUGGGCGCAAGCCUGAUCCAGCCAUGCCGCGUGAGUGAAGAAGGCCUUGGUGUAAAGCUCUUUCGGUCCGGGAAGAAAGUACGCAUGGGUUAA